RNAcentral lists this ribosomal RNA (399 nucleotides) under uncultured Glomeromycotina. RNAcentral describes it as "SSU rRNA". It matches the Rfam family "Eukaryotic small subunit ribosomal RNA", at positions 569 to 972 of the family's 1831-position model. The record is from RNAcentral. Lineage: Eukaryota; Fungi; Glomeromycota.
AGCAGCCGCGGUAAUUCCAGCUCCAAUAGCGUAUAUUAAAGUUGUUGCAGUUAAAAAGCUCGUAGUUGAAUUUCGGGGUUAGUAGGCCGGUCGUGCCACAGGUAUGCACUGGUCUUACUGACUUCUCCUUUCUGAAGAACUGUAAUGCCAUUAAUUUGGUGUUGCAGGGAAACAGGACUGUUACUUUGAAAAAAUUAGAGUGUUUAAAGCAGGCUAACGCUUGAAUACAUUAGCAUGGAAUAAUGAAAUAGGACGUUCGAUCCUAUUUUGUUGGUUUCUAGGAUUGACGUAAUGAUUAAUAGGGAUAGUUGGGGGCAUUAGUAUUCAAUUGUCAGAGGUGAAAUUCUUGGAUUUAUUGAAGACUAACUACUGCGAAAGCAUUUGCCAAGGAUGUUUUCA